Molecule: microRNA, 21 nt
Filed under: Gadus morhua (Atlantic cod)
Lineage: Eukaryota; Metazoa; Chordata; Actinopteri; Gadiformes; Gadidae
Description: gmo-miR-11935-3p
Source: miRBase by way of RNAcentral
UCUCCAGACUGGACCAGGACC